Small nuclear RNA from Molossus molossus (Pallas's mastiff bat), 102 nucleotides. The record is from RefSeq and is a predicted model, not a curated record. Lineage: Eukaryota; Metazoa; Chordata; Mammalia; Chiroptera; Molossidae.
GCACUUCAGCAGGACAUACACUAAAAUAAGAAAGAUACAGAGAAGAUUUGCAUGGCCCCUUGCAAGAAGGACGUGCACAUUUGUGAAGCAUUCCAUAUUUUU